GCGAUGCAUCGGAUUAUUGGGCGUAAGAGCUCGUAGGCGGUUUGUCGCGUCUGCCGUGAAAGUCCGGGGCUCAACUCCGGAUCUGCGGUGGGUACGGGCAGACUAGAGUGAUGUAGGGGAGACUGGAAUUCCUGGUGUAGCGGUGAAAUGCGCAGAUAUCAGGAGGAACACCGAUGGCGAAGGCAGGUCUCUGAGCAUUAACUGACGCUGAGGAGCGAAAGCAUGGGGAGCGAACAGGAUUAGAUACCCUGGUAGUCCAUGCCGUAAACGUUGGGCACUAGGUGUGGGGGACAUUCCACGUUUUCCGCGCCGUAGCUAACGCAUUAAGUGCCCCGCCUGGGGAGUACGGCCGCAAGGCUAAAACUCAAAGGAAUUGACGGGGGCCCGCACAAGCGGCGGAGCAUGCGGAUUAAUUCGAUGCAACGCGAAGAACCUUACCAAGGCUUGACAUGGACCGGACCGGGCUGGAAACAGUCCUUCCCCUUUGGGGCCGGUUCACAGGUGGUGCAUGGUUGUCGUCAGCUCGUGUCGUGAGAUGUUGGGUUAAGUCCCGCAACGAGCGCAACCCUCGUUCCAUGUUGCCAGCGCGUAAUGGCGGGGACUCGUGGGAGACUGCCGGGGUCAACUCGGAGGAAGGUGGGGACGACGUCAAAUCAUCAUGCCCCUUAUGUCUUGGGCUUCACGCAUGCUACAAUGGCCGGUACAAAGGGUUGCGAUACUGUGAGGUGGAGCUAAUCCCAAAAAGCCGGUCUCAGUUCGGAUUGGGGUCUGCAACUCGACCCCAUGAAGUCGGAGUCGCUAGUAAUCGCAGAUCAGCAACGCUGCGGUGAAUACGUUCCCGGGCCUUGUACACACCGCCCGUCAAGUCACGAAAGUUGGUAACACCCGAAGCCGGUGGCCUAACCCCUUGUGGGAGGGAGCUGUCGAAAGGUGGGACUGGCGAUUG
Molecule: ribosomal RNA, 946 nt
Filed under: uncultured bacterium
Lineage: Bacteria
Description: bacterial SSU rRNA
Rfam family: Bacterial small subunit ribosomal RNA
Source: RNAcentral